Molecule: microRNA precursor, 125 nt
Filed under: Hordeum vulgare
Lineage: Eukaryota; Viridiplantae; Streptophyta; Magnoliopsida; Poales; Poaceae
Description: microRNA MIR1122
Rfam family: MIR1120/MIR1122 microRNA precursor family
Source: RNAcentral
UAGAUACUCCCUUCGUCUGGAAUUACUUGUCAUAAAAAUGGAUGUAUUUAGACAUAUUUUAGUUUUAAAUACAUUCAUUUCUUUAAAUUUUGGUGACAAAUAAUUUCGGACGGAGGGAGUAUUAU